UAAACUUCAUGAUUGUGUAGGCUUAACCCUGACCAUAUCAACAGAGAUCUCUUCACGAAACUUGUUGACCUUUGCUUGGUAAGAUUUUGGCACUUGAAUUGAUGAGUUAAGAUCAGGCCAAAAAUGUUAUAUGAAAGUUAUGCCCCCUGCAGGGUAUUAGAAUUGCACUCACGUAUUUGACAUAUUCAUCAGUGGCUUUGGCUUCCUCUAUCUUUGGCUUCUUCUGCACUGGAGAAUCAAUCGCCG
RNAcentral lists this long non-coding RNA (246 nucleotides) under Capsella grandiflora. RNAcentral describes it as "long non-coding RNA (CGRA_LNC000871)". The record is from RNAcentral. Lineage: Eukaryota; Viridiplantae; Streptophyta; Magnoliopsida; Brassicales; Brassicaceae.